UAAAGACAAGACCCUACAAAAGCCAAGCCUAUAGACUCAAAUGGACUUUGUUAAACGGCAGGAGAACAACCAAUAACCAGCCAGAAAGAGCGACAGACCUGGUGUCCUUAGGGGCGCACCUUAUGGACUUGCUAAAGACGGGGGAGCCUACCACGAUUACGCCCGGAUACGCAAGUUUAUACUUCUUAUUGCACAUUAUCAC
Non-coding RNA from Pelobates cultripes (western spadefoot toad), 202 nucleotides. The record is from the annotation of a GenBank genome assembly. Lineage: Eukaryota; Metazoa; Chordata; Amphibia; Anura; Pelobatidae.